GCAGCCGGCUUAGCCGAAUGGUUACGCUGUCCGCUUUGUAAGCGGAAGAUCUUGGACUCGAUUCCCAUCUGCUUCA
Molecule: transfer RNA, 76 nt
Filed under: Culex quinquefasciatus (southern house mosquito)
Lineage: Eukaryota; Metazoa; Arthropoda; Insecta; Diptera; Culicidae
Description: tRNA-Thr
Source: RNAcentral